UACGAGAUUGCAAUGAGAACAAUUUAAACCUCUUAUCGAGUAACAAUUGGAGGGCAAGUCUGGUGCCAGCAGCCGCGGUAAUUCCAGCUCCAAUAGCGUAUAUUAAAGUUGUUGCAGUUAAAAAGCUCGUAGUUGAAUAUCUGGCCGGUGGUGUGCGUGGCUCCCGUAGUCUGUACAUCGCCUGGUUAUCCGUAUGGGAAACCAGCUCGACCUUCACUGUGUCGGCUGGCGGAUCAUACACUUUACUUUGAAAAAAUUAGAGUGUUUCAGGCAGGCAAUUGCUUGGAUACUGUAGCAUGGAAUAAUGGAAUAGGACUUUGACCUAUUUGUUGGUUUCUCGAGGUCAAAGUAAUGAUUAAUAGGGACAGUUGGGGGCAUUCGUAUUUAAUUGUCAGAGGUGAAAUUCUUGGAUUUUUUAAAGACGAACUUAUGCGAAAGC
Molecule: ribosomal RNA, 439 nt
Filed under: Colpoda henneguyi
Lineage: Eukaryota; Ciliophora; Colpodea; Colpodida; Colpodidae
Description: SSU rRNA
Rfam family: Eukaryotic small subunit ribosomal RNA
Source: RNAcentral